GCUCAAACCUUUUUUUACAGAAAGCUUCUCCUACUGCCCAGAAGGAAAAUUUCUUCCCAGUUGCUCACCUAAUUGUGCAUCUUGUCUACAAUCAGAAAGUUUCACUGGCUCUAUCUGUGAUGGAACUUCACUGCCACUGCCUGCCACUUUCACUGUUAAUGGAAAACAAUGAAGUAUCUGGCAGGAUCAGUUACAUUAAGGUGUGAUUUCCUGCUAGAGUAAGAUCUGGAUGCCAAAGGGAGACUGAAUAUGAACUAAGCUGUUCAUUCCUGCUUUAGCCAUGCCCUGGAAGAACAUAUCAUACCACUCAAGUCACUUUAGAGACAUUAAAAAGGCACCAAGAAAUAGUGUUAACAAAGUCAAGACAAAUUGUGUUCAUCUGGAGAGUUAGAGGUACGUUGAACCUGAUGUCUUAUCAUUCCUUUUUUUUAAUAAAUAACCAACUACUAAAGAAAUACAGGCAGGUCUGAAUGAGUGUCUAGAGACAGCACAUCAAAAAAUGCAUAUAUAACAAUGCUGCUGUAAAGACUGCCCAAUAAUCACAGCCUACAUUAAUUCCAGAAACCACACAACUGAUAUUCCUUGGCUUCAUUUUUAAGGCAGCAUUUGGAAAGUUAUGUGCACUAAUCCUGUAACAGUAAUGGGAUUUGUGUUUCCAGCACAAGCAUAGCUUUGAAAAUAUAACCAUAAGAGUCCCAUGCAGCAGUCAAAGUAAUCUCUGGCUUCUGAGAAAGAAGAACAACUUUGCAAACAUUUUGUCAC
This is a long non-coding RNA of Corapipo altera (White-ruffed manakin), 762 nucleotides long. RefSeq lists it as uncharacterized. Lineage: Eukaryota; Metazoa; Chordata; Aves; Passeriformes; Pipridae. The record is from RefSeq and is a predicted model, not a curated record. The transcript has 4 exons.